Molecule: non-coding RNA, 1593 nt
Organism: Camellia sinensis
Lineage: Eukaryota; Viridiplantae; Streptophyta; Magnoliopsida; Ericales; Theaceae
Source: RefSeq, a predicted model, not a curated record
GUCUAAAAUCGAAUUUUCUUCCUUGCUGUAUGUGAAGAACCGCUGACUCAUCUCAUAAUUACAGCAUCACCCCCACUUUCUCUCAAUUCCCCACUCCUUACCCUCAACCCAGAUUUCCAUUUCACAUUCUUCUACUUCUUCUUCUUCUUCGCUCUCUCUCUCUAGGGUUUAUUGGUCUCUGUUCUGAGCUUCAAUGGCUUCUUCAUCGUCUAGAAAAGCCUGUUUUCAGUGCGAGGACUCAAACUCCACCCAGUUCAGAAACGGUUGGAGGGUUCGCAGUGGCCACUUCGCUCAGCUCUGCAAUCGAUGCUCCUCUUUGUAUGAGGAAGGAAGAUUCUGUGACACUUAUCAUGCAAAUGAUGAUGGUUGGAGGGACUGCGAAUCUUGUGGAAAGUUGGUUCACUGCGGAUGUAUUGCGUCAUUCCAUGCAUAUAUGCUGUUGGAUUUUGGUGGAGUGAUCUGCAUGGAAUGCUCAAAGGUUAAUUUCAUUCUGGCACGAAAACGAUGUCUAUAUUCUGAAACUCAAAUAGGAAUUGGAGAACCACAAGGGGAUGCCGCUAGGCCAAUCCAGAUAGAUCCUCAAUACUGGCCUCGGGUGACUGAUCAAGAGUUACAACAGAUCGCCAGAAAAACAAAUUCUGUUGUCAUUCCAUUGUUCGAGAAAUUAUUGUCUGCUAGUGAUGCUGAUCACAAGUUGGCACGUCUCGUGAUACCAAAAAAAUGUGCAGAGGCUUUUUUCCCCAAAAUUACUACCCCACAUGGGUGCCCUCUCAAAAUCCAGGAUACAGAAGGCAAGGAAUGGGAAUUUCAGUUCCACUUUUGGCCCAAUAGUGGCAGCAAGAUGUAUGUUCUAGAAGGGCUUAGAGAUUAUAUGGUUUCAGUGCAAUGGCAAGCGGGUGACAUAGUGACAUUUUAUAGGAUUGAACCAGAGAAAAAGUUGGUCAUGGGAUUGAGAAAGACUUGUGCUAGUGUAUCACCUUAUGAGGUUUCGGCCUGAUGUUUCAGUAAGAAGAUUAUAAAGGCCAUUCUGAAUUUUAUGCUUUCCUGUGGAUGCUUUUGAUGGUUUUUAUGCACAAGCCUUCAGAACAUGGUACACUAGAUGAUGCUCCCAUUUCGAAACCAAAUCUAUGCUUCCUGCCUCGGAAGAAUUCGCAAGAAUGUGGUCCUUCGGUCGUAAAACUCUGAUUUUUGUUUGUGUUUAAAGUGAAAUCCUUGACUUGGGGUUCCAAAAAGUAAGGUUGGUAUGAUGACAAUGGAUGGUGGAUGGUCCCUAGAAGGCCAGGUGCAGCGACUGUGAAUAAACAGAUAUGCAGUGAUGUUUCAUUAUGCUGUAAUAUAUCAGUUUCUUUUUUGAUACAUUGGAGCCGUAGUUUAGGGGAAGGAAAGUCUUGUAUGGAGCGAGACUCGAACUCUUGACAUCUUAGUGAGUUAGAUGCUUUCUGGUUAUGCUGUAAUAUAUCGCUUUUUUGAAGUCUUCUAUGGUUUAAGACUUGAACUGUUGAUAUCUUAGUGAGUUAGAUGCCUUCUGGCUAUGAUGUAAUAUAUUGCUUUCUUGAAAGUUGUUGAGCAGCAAAUGGGUAGAAAUUCAUUUCA